Molecule: non-coding RNA, 952 nt
Organism: Vicugna pacos (alpaca)
Lineage: Eukaryota; Metazoa; Chordata; Mammalia; Artiodactyla; Camelidae
Source: RefSeq, a predicted model, not a curated record
UGGACUCCUUGAGGUCACCUGGUGGAAUUAACCUGGCAGAUGGGCUGGUCAGGCGGGUCUAAGGCAGCCUCAUUCAUACGUCUGGUGCCUUGACAGAGAUGGCUGAAAAAUUACUCAUCUGGGAUUGUCAGUCACAGCGCCUUCAUGUUGCCUCGGUAGCUGGCACUCGCAGGCUAGUCUUACUCCUUACGUGGCUGCUCAAGGCUCCUAGAGGACAUUUCUAAGAGACUAAGGCAGAAGCUACGAGCUUCUUCUCACCAGCCUAGGAGGUCAUGCCGUAGCACAUUCUAUUGAUGAAGCACUUUUCUAGAGCCAACCUAGAUUCAAGGGGGAAAGAGUUAGACUCUACCUCUUAGUGGGAGAAGUAGCAAAAAAAAAAAAAAGGUGCAGUCAUCUUUAAUCUGCCAUUGUUAACUAGCAGUUUAUUAUUUUUACAUCUAUAUUUCAUAAAUGAGAUUGCAGUUUUCCUGUUAACUAUGCUUACCUGUUUUUGAUGCCAAAGUUAUGCCAGCCUCAUUAAAAUGAGAUGAUGCACCUUCUCCUCUGCACCUAGACACCAGACCCUCAGAGGCACCUCUGCUUACUUACACUACAAAGUACAGGGAGACCAUCAGGCUCCAAGAGAAGCACUGACUGUGACGGGACUGGAGCAGGUCCAAACUGAUGUCAGGGGCCGGGACCUUACAGACAGGGCCGUGCGGGGUUGGCGUGGAGGCCAGCACGUGCAGACGCGGGGAGGAGGGCACGGCGAGGAGAGGGAAGAUCGUGUCCAAAGGACCCCUGCCCAGCACGACUGUCCCUGGAAAAUGAGAAAGGAUGUGGAGCUCAUUGUGUGUUUUUACGAUGUUCAGCGUAUUUAAUCCUUUUCUGCCUACGGCGGUUCACUCUUCACAGGGGUCUUGGGGAUUUGGCCAAUUGUGAGAAUGUCUGUGGUGAUAUUAAAGCUCACUGU